RNAcentral lists this ribosomal RNA (406 nucleotides) under uncultured bacterium. Its description in RNAcentral is "partial 16S ribosomal RNA". It matches the Rfam family "Bacterial small subunit ribosomal RNA", at positions 30 to 526 of the family's 1533-position model. The record is from RNAcentral.
AUUGAACGCUGGCGGCAGGCUUAACACAUGCAAGUCGAGCGCGCGGCGGACGGGGGAGUAAUGUCUGGGAAACUGCCUGCUGGAGGGGGAUAACUACUGGAAACGGUAGCUAUUACCGCAUACCAUCAGAUGUGCCCCGAUGGGAUUAGCUAGUAGGUGGGGUAAUGGCUCACCUAGGCGACGAUCCCUAGCUGGUCUGAGAGGAUGACCAGCCACACUGGAACUGAGACACGGUCCAGACUCCUACGGGAGGCAGCAGUGGGGAAUAUUGCACAAUGGGGGAAAGCCUGAUGCAGCCAUGCCGCGUGUGUGAAGAAGGCCUUCGGGUUGUAAAGCACUUUCAGCGAGGAGGCGUUACUCGCAGAAGAAGCACCGGCUAACUCCGUGCCAGCAGCCGCGGUAAUUC